RNAcentral lists this non-coding RNA (127 nucleotides) under Castor canadensis (American beaver). Lineage: Eukaryota; Metazoa; Chordata; Mammalia; Rodentia; Castoridae. The record is from RNAcentral.
GAGCUCUUGCAAAAGAAAAGACAGUUAGUACUCCCUUUGACAAGGAUGAAAGAAACCCUUGGAUUUAAGAACAUGCAUAUGGUUAAGAUUUUACCAUCUACUUCAUGCAAACAAAGGAAUGUAUUUA